This 465-nucleotide ribosomal RNA is filed under the name Vreelandella stevensii. RNAcentral's name for it is "partial 16S ribosomal RNA". It matches the Rfam family "Bacterial small subunit ribosomal RNA", at positions 338 to 795 of the family's 1533-position model. Lineage: Bacteria; Pseudomonadati; Pseudomonadota; Gammaproteobacteria; Oceanospirillales; Halomonadaceae. The record is from RNAcentral.
CCUACGGGCGGCUGCAGUGGGGAAUAUUGGACAAUGGGCGAAAGCCUGAUCCAGCCAUGCCGCGUGUGUGAAGAAGGCCUUCGGGUUGUAAAGCACUUUCAGUGGGGAAGAAAGCCUUGGGGCUAAUACCCUCGAGGAAGGACAUCACCCACAGAAGGAGCACCGGCUAACUCCGUGCCAGCAGCCGCGGUAAUACGGAGGGUGCGAGCGUUAAUCGGAAUUACUGGGCGUAAAGCGCGCGUAGGCGGUCUGAUAAGCCGGUUGUGAAAGCCCCGGGCUCAACCUGGGAACGGCAUCCGGAACUGUCAGGCUAGAGUGCAGGAGAGGAAGGUAGAAUUCCCGGUGUAGCGGUGAAAUGCGUAGAGAUCGGGAGGAAUACCAGUGGCGAAGGCGGCCUUCUGGACUGACACUGACGCUGAGGUGCGAAAGCGUGGGUAGCAAACAGGAUUAGAUACCCCUGUAGUC